RNAcentral lists this ribosomal RNA (253 nucleotides) under uncultured bacterium. RNAcentral describes it as "partial 16S ribosomal RNA". It matches the Rfam family "Bacterial small subunit ribosomal RNA", at positions 524 to 776 of the family's 1533-position model. The record is from RNAcentral.
UACGUAGGGCGCAAGCGUUGUCCGGAAUUAUUGGGCGUAAAGAGCUCGUAGGCGGUCUGUCGCGUCUGCCGUGAAAACCCGAGGCUUAACCUCGGGCUGGCGGUGGAUACGGGCAGACUAGAGGUAGGUAGGGGAGAAUGGAAUUCCUGGUGUAGCGGUGAAAUGCGCAGAUAUCAGGAGGAACACCGGUGGCGAAGGCGGUUCUCUGGGCAUUACCUGACGCUGAGGAGCGAAAGUGUGGGGAGCGAACAGG